RNAcentral lists this ribosomal RNA (468 nucleotides) under uncultured bacterium. RNAcentral's name for it is "partial 16S ribosomal RNA". It matches the Rfam family "Bacterial small subunit ribosomal RNA", at positions 28 to 507 of the family's 1533-position model. The record is from RNAcentral.
GACGAACGCUGGCGGCGUGCUUAACACAUGCAAGUCGAACGGAAAGGCCCUGCUUUUGUGGGGUGCUCGAGUGGCGAACGGGUGAGUAACACGUGAGUAACCUGCCCUUGACUGUGGGAUAACUUCAGGCAACUGGGGCUAAUACCGGAUAGGAGCUCCUGCUGCAUGGUGGGGGUUGGAAAGUUUCGGCGGUUGGGGGUGGACUCGGGGCUUAUCAGCUUGUUGGUGGGGUAGUGGCUUACCAAGGCUUUGACGGGUGGCCGGCCUGGGAGGGUGACCGGACACAUUGGGCCUGAGAUACGGCCCAGACUGGUACGGUAGGCAGCGGUGGGGAGUAUGACACAAUGGGCGGGAGCCUGAUGCGACAACGCCGCGUGCGGGAAGACGGCCUUGGGGUGGUGAACCGCAGUCGCCUGAGACGAAGCGUGAGUGACGGUAAUGGGUAAAGAAGCACCGGCUAACUACGUG